RNAcentral lists this long non-coding RNA (301 nucleotides) under Gossypium raimondii (Peruvian cotton). RNAcentral describes it as "long non-coding RNA (GRAI_LNC003772)". Lineage: Eukaryota; Viridiplantae; Streptophyta; Magnoliopsida; Malvales; Malvaceae. The record is from RNAcentral.
UCAGUUUUUCUUAUUCUCUUACAUAUUUUUCUCUAGUUUGUUUUUCAUCGACAACACUCGUUUCUUGCUCAAUAUCUUUUCUCUCUUCAAUUUCAAUCUCUUUUCCAAUUUUGUUUUCUUUUUCACAUUUUUGUUUACUCUCAAACUCUUUUUGCUUUCUCUCUCCCUCUUUUUCUUUCAUUUCUUUUUUUUUCUCAAUUUCAUUUGAGAUCCGCUCAUUCUUGUGCAUUAUCAUUUCUUGCCUCACACUUCUUUUUGUUUCUUUGUUUUUUUGCUUCGUUCUUUCAUUUGCAAGAUGAUG